Molecule: non-coding RNA, 120 nt
Filed under: Vibrio diazotrophicus
Lineage: Bacteria; Pseudomonadati; Pseudomonadota; Gammaproteobacteria; Vibrionales; Vibrionaceae
Source: RNAcentral
GGAGUUAGGUCCUCCAGAGUCUGCUGUCGGAAGCCGACUCUAAACCACUUUCAGGUGGCUGCUAUUAAGAGUAAUGGUCAGAAGCGUUUAAAGAAAAUCAGAAUAAGAAUUCUGGCGAGG